GAGGGUGUAGCUCAGUGGCAGAGUGCACGCUUAGCUUGCAUGAGGUUCUGGGUUCAAUCCCCAGUAACUCCA
RNAcentral lists this transfer RNA (72 nucleotides) under Camelus bactrianus (Bactrian camel). It matches the Rfam family "tRNA". Rfam says of the family: Transfer RNA (tRNA) molecules are approximately 80 nucleotides in length. Lineage: Eukaryota; Metazoa; Chordata; Mammalia; Artiodactyla; Camelidae. The record is from Rfam by way of RNAcentral. RNAcentral also lists the same sequence under 2 other names.